Molecule: long non-coding RNA, 230 nt
Filed under: Setaria italica (foxtail millet)
Lineage: Eukaryota; Viridiplantae; Streptophyta; Magnoliopsida; Poales; Poaceae
Description: long non-coding RNA (SITA_LNC002387)
Source: RNAcentral
GCGGCUGGUGACAGCGUGGCUCGCAACUGCACAGAAGAAGCAUAUGCGCAGUACCUCGAGGAGGCAGAGCCUAUCGCGUCGAAGAUGUCAGAGUUUGUCUCUCCAGAAGAGCCUUGAGCGUUUUAUGUACUCUUGAAACAGUUUCGAGUAUUUUGAACAAUACUGUGACAAAUAAAUGCUGGCCCAUUAUUUUGUUGCUUGAAAUGGUUGUCUUGCAAAGAGUAGAUUUA